UACGUAAGUGGCGAGCGUUAUCCGGAAUUACUGGGCGUAAAGCGUGCGUAGGCGGUUUAGUGUGUGGGAAUUGAAAGCCCGGGGCUCAACUCCGGAUCCGGUUCCCAAACUGCUAGACUUGAGCGUAUCAGAGGACAGCGGAAUUCCCGGUGUAGCGGUAAUAUGCGUAGAUAUCGGGAGGAACACCAGUGGCGAAGGCGGCUGUCUGGGCCAUUACUGACGCUGAGGAGCGAAAGCGUGGGGAGCGAACAGG
This 253-nucleotide ribosomal RNA is filed under the name uncultured bacterium. RNAcentral's name for it is "partial 16S ribosomal RNA". It matches the Rfam family "Bacterial small subunit ribosomal RNA", at positions 524 to 776 of the family's 1533-position model. The record is from RNAcentral.